AUGCCAGGUCUGAUCUGGUUGUGCGUCCUCUUGAUCCUCUCUUGCCAUGAUGGUGUUGAUGGCGUCACGGAGUUCAUAUACAAUGGGUUCGCCCGCAGCAAGCUCCACCUCGACGGUGAGGCUUCCAUCUCAAAACACGGCGUCCUCUCUCUAACGAGCAGCAGCUGCGGCGACAGCUCCUUCACCCAGGGGCAUGGUUUCCAUCCAGAAGCUCUUCCGUUUGUCAAUUCCCAUGGCGUGUCCAUGAGCUUCUCGGCCACUUUCGUGUUCUCCAUCACGCCCAGUGACUCUGACACUUCCGGCGACGGGAUGGCAUUUGUCAUCUCCUUGGCCCCGCUGUCUGGUACCUGGACAGAUGGGCAAUACUUGGGACUUGUCAAUCAGGACGACGACGGUGGCACACUUGCAAACCGUUUCUUCGCCAUCGAGCUUGACACCGUAGCCAACUGGGAGUUCAGAGAUAUAGACAACAACCAUGUCGGGAUUGAUCUCAACAACCUAACGUCCGCCGCCUCUUCAACCGCAGGGUAUUACAGCGACAAUGUCGAGAAGGACUUCCACUUCUUCAAUCCACUGAGACUUUCUAGUGGAAAGCCAAUGCAGGUUUGGGUGGACUACUAUGAGAUGCAGCUCAACGUCACGCUUGCUCCUGUCCCCAUGAAUAAGCCCUCUUCACCGCUAUUGUCUUACUACCCCAUCGAUCUUGCAAAGGUCCUCAAGAAUGACACCAAAUCAAAGGCAGGGGUUCCAACCACAGCAUACGUCGGUUUCUCUGCCUCCAGCGGUGAUUGGUGUGCCUCCCAACAAAUUUUUGGGUGGAGCUUUAACCUGUAUGGACCGGCCAAACCACUUGACUUAUCGCUGCUGCUGCCGCCAUUAAAACAAGUACAAGAUAGUUCCAGACAAGAAGCCCAUGACAAGAAAAAAGUCGUCAAAUGGGUGCCCGCAACUAUAUCUUCACUUGCCAUACUUGCAGGUAUAACAACUUGCCUUCUGUUUCGAUGGUGGUGGUGCAAGAAGAGGAUGUCAGAGAGGAAUGAAGACUGGGAGGCUGAGCUUGGGCCCCACCGCUUCGCGUACAAGGACCUCCGCCGAGCAACAAAUGGCUUCGACGACAAUCAACUCCUUGGGAAAGGCGGCUUUGGGCAAGUCUAUAGAGGAGUCCUUGGCAACUCUGGCAUGGACAUCGCAGUGAAGCGGGUCUCCUCGGAGUCGAAGCAGGGGUUGACUGAAUUCACAGCUGAGGUCAUCAUCCUUGGUCGCCUACGACACCGAAACCUUGUCCGUCUGAUCGGCUAUUGCCGGCACAAGGUCGAGCUUCUCCUCGUCUACGAGUACAUGCCCAACGGCAGCCUGGAUAGCUACAUGCACACCCAGACUAGGCACACGAUGCUCUCAUGGUGUCAAAGGCUUCACAUCAUCAGAGGCGUCGCGUGCGGGCUUCUGUACCUCCACGAGGACUGGGAGCAGGUCAUCAUACACCGUGACAUCAAGGCCAGCAACGUCCUACUUGACGGAGAGAUGAAUGGUCGGCUGGGUGACUUCGGCCUCGCGAGGCUGCACGACCAUGGUGCCGACGCGCACACCACCCAUGUGGCCGGCACGAGGGGCUACCUUGCCCCUGAGCUGACGAGGUUCAGCAAGGCGACCAAAGCAACUGACGUGUUUGCGUUUGGUGCCUUUGUGCUAGAGGUGGCUUGUGGUAGGCGUCCGGUGGGGUUCAACGCCCGCGGCGAGCUGCUGGUGCUCGUCCAAUGGGUGCGCGACACGUGGGCAAGCGGCUCCGGCUCGAUCCUCGACACCGUUGACCCAAGACUGGACGAGUAUGCUGCUGAUGAGGCGGAGCUGGUGCUCAAGCUUGGGUUGUUGUGCUCACACCCUUUACCUGUGGCGAGGCCCAGCAUCCGCCUUAUCAUGCGGUACCUUGAUGGGGAUUUACCUUUGCCCGAGUUCUCUCCUGAAUAUCUCAACAUUACAGAUGUCGAUCAGGUUCUUGAUGAAGUGCCUCCGUCAGUGGCGAACAGCAUUACAGGUCUGUCUGGAGGUAGAUGA
This 2052-nucleotide ribosomal RNA is filed under the name Triticum aestivum (bread wheat). RNAcentral describes it as "partial small subunit ribosomal RNA". The record is from RNAcentral. Lineage: Eukaryota; Viridiplantae; Streptophyta; Magnoliopsida; Poales; Poaceae.